AUUAAACGCUGGCGGCAUGCCUUACACAUGCAAGUCGAACGGCAGCACUGGGGCAACCCUGGUGGCGAGUGGCGAACGGGUGAGUAAAGCAUCGGAACGUGCCCUGGAGUGGGGGAUAACGUAGCGAAAGUUACGCUAAUACCGCAUAUUCUGUGAGCAGGAAAGCAGGGGAUCGCAAGACCUUGCGCUCUGGGAGCGGCCGAUGUCGGAUUAGCUAGUUGGUGGGGUAAAGGCCUACCAAGGCGACGAUCCGUAGCGGGUCUGAGAGGAUGAUCCGCACACUGGGACUGAGACACGGCCCAGACUCCUACGGGAGGCAGCAGUGGGGAAUUUUGGACAAUGGGCGAAAGCCUGAUCCAGCCAUGCCGCGUGAGUGAAGAAGGCCUUCGGGUUGGUUAAACGACGUACUUUUUCGGG
Molecule: ribosomal RNA, 417 nt
Filed under: uncultured bacterium
Lineage: Bacteria
Description: bacterial SSU rRNA
Rfam family: Bacterial small subunit ribosomal RNA
Source: RNAcentral